This 274-nucleotide ribosomal RNA is filed under the name uncultured bacterium. RNAcentral's name for it is "partial 16S ribosomal RNA". It matches the Rfam family "Bacterial small subunit ribosomal RNA", at positions 523 to 796 of the family's 1533-position model. The record is from RNAcentral.
AUACGGAGGGUGCGAGCGUUAAUCGGAAUUACUGGGCGUAAAGGGUCCGUAGGCGGUCUGCUUAGUCUGAUGUGAAAGCCCCGGGCUUAACCUGGGAAUGGCAUUGGAUACUGGCGGACUAGAGUCUGGUAGAGGGUGGUGGAAUUCCCGGUGUAGCGGUGAAAUGCGUAGAUAUCAGGAUGAACACCAGUGGCGAAGGCGGCCACCUGGACCAAGACUGACGCUGAGGGACGAAAGCGUGGGGAGCAAACAGGAUUAGAAACCCUAGUAGUCC